CGGGCCGUAGCGCAGUUUGGUAGCGCACCUGAAUGGGGUUCAGGGGGUCGGCGGUUCGAAUCCGCCCGGCCCGA
RNAcentral lists this transfer RNA (74 nucleotides) under bacterium. Its description in RNAcentral is "tRNA-Pro". It matches the Rfam family "tRNA". Rfam says of the family: Transfer RNA (tRNA) molecules are approximately 80 nucleotides in length. Their secondary structure includes four short double-helical elements and three loops (D, anti-codon, and T loops). The record is from RNAcentral. RNAcentral also lists the same sequence under 1 other name.